Molecule: long non-coding RNA, 431 nt
Filed under: Lathyrus oleraceus (garden pea)
Lineage: Eukaryota; Viridiplantae; Streptophyta; Magnoliopsida; Fabales; Fabaceae
Description: Pisum sativum (pea) long non-coding RNA (PSAT_LNC033062)
Source: RNAcentral
GGUGGUUCAUGCGGUGGUUUCCACCGUCUUCUUCGUGAAGACGGUGGUGCUACUGUUCAUCUUUUUUUUUGUGUGCAGAAUUUUAUAAAAUUUAUAUCGUUGGAAAGGUCUUGAUGAGUAGAUUCCAAAUAUCAUAAAAGCUAAGCCUAAUUCAUCAUCUAUUUUCUGGAUCGAAGGAAAUAAGUUUCUAGAUCUAAACUUUAAUUCAACAUAACUUCUUCAUUUUUCAUCCAAAUUUCAUGAAAUUUAUAUCAGAAUAACCAGUGAUGAAAGCUCUACAAGUUUAUGUACAUAAAAUCAAGAUUUAUGAGAUUCGAAUUUCCAACCUCUUGAAGAGUAGUGGAUGAAAACAGUGUGUUCAAGCUUCCUAAACCUCCAAAUCUCCUUCUCCACUCUUGUUAUGAAGCUUGAUGUAGAAAUGGAUGCUUGCC